GCUUGGAUCCCGGGCUGGAUCACCUCCUUAAGCUUGGAUCCCGGGAGCUCCGAAUUCGUCGACAACAGAGUUUGAUCCUGGCUCAGAACGAACGCUGGCGGCAGGCUUAAUACAUGCAAGUCGAACGGUUGUAGCAAUACAGCAGUGGCAGACGGGUGAGUAACACGUGGGAACCUACCUAGGGGUACGGAAUAACUCAGGGAAACUUGUGCUAAUACCGUAUACGACCUCAGGGUGAAAGAUUUAUCGCCCCUAGAUGGGCCCGCGUUGGAUUAGCUAGUUGGUGAGGUAAAAGCUCACCAAGGCGACGAUCCAUAGCUGGUCUGAGAGGAUGAUCAGCCACACUGGGACUGAGACACGGCCCAUACUCCUACGGGAGGCAGCAGUAGGGAAUCUUGGACAAUGGGCGAAAGCCUGAUCCAGCCAUGCCGCGUGAGUGAUGAAGGCCUUANGGUUGUANAGCUCUUUCGCCAGGGAAGAUAAUGACGGUACCUGUAUAAGAAGCCCCGGCUAACUUCGUGCCAGCAGCCGCGGUAAUA
This 539-nucleotide ribosomal RNA is filed under the name uncultured Alphaproteobacteria bacterium. RNAcentral describes it as "partial 16S ribosomal RNA". The stretch from base 60 to 539 matches the Rfam family "Bacterial small subunit ribosomal RNA", at positions 1 to 525 of the family's 1533-position model. Lineage: Bacteria; Pseudomonadati; Pseudomonadota; Alphaproteobacteria. The record is from RNAcentral.